This 1456-nucleotide ribosomal RNA is filed under the name Salmonella enterica subsp. enterica serovar Johannesburg. RNAcentral's name for it is "partial 23S ribosomal RNA". It matches the Rfam family "Bacterial large subunit ribosomal RNA", at positions 711 to 2147 of the family's 2925-position model. Lineage: Bacteria; Pseudomonadati; Pseudomonadota; Gammaproteobacteria; Enterobacterales; Enterobacteriaceae. The record is from RNAcentral.
AGACCCGAAACCCGGUGAUCUAGCCAUGGGCAGGUUGAAGGUUGGGUAACACUAACUGGAGGACCGAACCGACUAAUGUUGAAAAAUUAGCGGAUGACCUGUGGCUGGGGGUGAAAGGCCAAUCAAACCGGGAGAUAGCUGGUUCUCCCCGAAAGCUAUUUAGGUAGCGCCUCGUGAAUUCAUCUCCGGGGGUAGAGCACUGUUUCGGCUAGGGGGCCAUCCCGGCUUACCAACCCGAUGCAAACUGCGAAUACCGGAGAAUGUUAUCACGGGAGACACACGGCGGGUGCUAACGUCCGUCGUGAAGAGGGAAACAACCCAGACCGCCAGCUAAGGUCCCAAAGUCAUGGUUAAGUGGGAAACGAUGUGGGAAGGCCCAGACAGCCAGGAUGUUGGCUUAGAAGCAGCCAUCAUUUAAAGAAAGCGUAAUAGCUCACUGGUCGAGUCGGCCUGCGCGGAAGAUGUAACGGGGCUAAACCAUGCACCGAAGCUGCGGCAGCGACGCUGAUGCGUUGUUGGGUAGGGGAGCGUUCUGUAAGCCUGCGAAGGUGUGUCGUGAGGCAUGCUGGAGGUAUCAGAAGUGCGAAUGCUGACAUAAGUAACGAUAAAGCGGGUGAAAAGCCCGCUCGCCGGAAGACCAAGGGUUCCUGUCCAACGUUAAUCGGGGCAGGGUGAGUCGACCCCUAAGGCGAGGCCGAAAGGCGUAGUCGAUGGGAAACGGGUUAAUAUUCCCGUACUUGGUGUUACUGCGAAGGGGGGACGGAGAAGGCUAUGUUGGCCGGGCGACGGUUGUCCCGGUUUAAGCGUGUAGGUGUGUGUUCCAGGUAAAUCCGGUUCACUUUAACACUGAGGCGUGAUGACGAGGCACUACGGUGCUGAAGCAACAAAUGCCCUGCUUCCAGGAAAAGCCUCUAAGCAUCAGGUAACAUCAAAUCGUACCCCAAACCGACACAGGUGGUCAGGUAGAGAAUACCAAGGCGCUUGAGAGAACUCGGGUGAAGGAACUAGGCAAAAUGGUGCCGUAACUUCGGGAGAAGGCACGCUGACACGUAGGUGAAGUGAUUUACUCAUGGAGCUGAAGUCAGUCGAAGAUACCAGCUGGCUGCAACUGUUUAUUAAAAACACAGCACUGUGCAAACACGAAAGUGGACGUAUACGGUGUGACGCCUGCCCGGUGCCGGAAGGUUAAUUGAUGGGGUCAGCGCAAGCGAAGCUCCUGAUCGAAGCCCCGGUAAACGGCGGCCGUAACUAUAACGGUCCUAAGGUAGCGAAAUUCCUUGUCGGGUAAGUUCCGACCUGCACGAAUGGCGUAAUGAUGGCCAGGCUGUCUCCACCCGAGACUCAGUGAAAUUGAACUCGCUGUGAAGAUGCAGUGUACCCGCGGCAAGACGGAAAGACCCCGUGAACCUUUACUAUAGCUUGACACUGAACAUUGAGCCUUGAUGUGUAGGAUAGG